RNAcentral lists this ribosomal RNA (600 nucleotides) under uncultured bacterium. RNAcentral's name for it is "bacterial SSU rRNA". The stretch from base 1 to 457 matches the Rfam family "Bacterial small subunit ribosomal RNA", at positions 92 to 545 of the family's 1533-position model. The record is from RNAcentral.
AAAGUGGCGCACGGGUGCGUAACACGUCACAUCUACCUUUGGAUCUUGAAUAACUUCGAGAAAUCGAGGCUAAUACCGGAUAAUGCAGCGGCACCGAUGGUGAUGUGUUAAAGUUUAGUAAUGCCUAUAGAUGAGCUUGCGCCUGAUUUAGCUAGUUGGUAGGGUAAAGGCUACCAAGUACGAUCAGUAGCUGGUUUUGAGAGGAUGAUCAGCACAUGGAACUGAACACGGCCCAGAACUCCUACGGGAGGCAGCACCGAGGAAUAUUGGGCAAUGCCCGAAAGGGUGACCCAGAACGCCGCGUGGAGGGUCGACAGGCCGAAGGUUGUAAACCUCCCUGUCAGAGGAGAAGAACAGUACCGGAUUGGGAUCGGANNNGACUCGUACCCUCCAAAGAAAAGCCCCGGAAACUACUGGCCAACAAGACGCGGGAAUACCAAAGGGGGCAAGCAGUGCCGNAACAGGGGGGCAACAGGGGCACAGGGGAAACCAAGCACACGGGCGGAAAUCCUCACACGGCACUCAAACUCGANCAACACUGGGCAUUCGAAAACCGGGCCAAUCUCGGGCAUAGCGGGCCACAGACAGACAGCGNCAAUC